Molecule: unclassified non-coding RNA, 203 nt
Filed under: Glomeraceae sp.
Lineage: Eukaryota; Fungi; Glomeromycota; Glomeromycetes; Glomerales; Glomeraceae
Description: partial contains 5.8S ribosomal RNA and internal transcribed spacer 2
Rfam family: 5.8S ribosomal RNA (bases 1-71)
Source: RNAcentral
GUGAAUCAUCGAAUCUUUGAACGCAAAUUGCGAUUCCUGGCAUUCCGGGAAGUAUGCCUGUUUGAGGGUCAGUUUUAAUAAAAAAUCGGUUUUGUUACAAUUUGUGACGUUUCCGGUGGUUGGGCUCUCUUAACCUUUUAGGCUAAAAGGCUUAAAAUUGACCUUUUUUGCGCAUUUUCAAACGUAAAUAAAUUUUUUUUAUC